Molecule: ribosomal RNA, 2843 nt
Filed under: Aeromonas veronii AMC34
Lineage: Bacteria; Pseudomonadati; Pseudomonadota; Gammaproteobacteria; Aeromonadales; Aeromonadaceae
Description: bacterial LSU rRNA
Rfam family: Bacterial large subunit ribosomal RNA
Source: RNAcentral
CGAUGAAGGACGUACUAACCUGCGAUAAGCUGUGAGAAGUCGGUAAGAGACGCUAUUACUCACAGAUUUCCGAAUGGGGAAACCCACCCAAGAUAACUUGGGUAUCGUUACAUGAAUACAUAGUGUAACGAGGCGAACCGGGAGAACUGAAACAUCUAAGUACCCCGAGGAAAAGAAAUCAACCGAGAUUCCCUCAGUAGCGGCGAGCGAACGGGGAUUAGCCCUUAAGCAUCUUGGAAGUUAGUGGAACGGUCCUGGAAAGGCCGGCGAUACAGGGUGAUAGCCCCGUACACGAAAACAACCUUGAUGUGAAAUCGAGUAGGGCGGGACACGUGACAUCCUGUCUGAAUAUGGGGGGACCAUCCUCCAAGGCUAAAUACUCCUGACUGACCGAUAGUGAACCAGUACCGUGAGGGAAAGGCGAAAAGAACCCCUGUGAGGGGAGUGAAAUAGAACCUGAAACCGUGUACGUACAAGCAGUGGGAGCCCUUCGGGGUGACUGCGUACCUUUUGUAUAAUGGGUCAGCGACUUACAUUUUGUAGCGAGGUUAACCGUAUAGGGGAGCCGUAGGGAAACCGAGUCUUAACUGGGCGUCUAGUUGCAAGGUGUAGACCCGAAACCGGGUGAUCUAGCCAUGGGCAGGUUGAAGGUUGAGUAACAUCAACUGGAGGACCGAACCCACUAACGUUGCAAAGUUAGGGGAUGACCUGUGGCUGGGGGUGAAAGGCCAAUCAAACUCGGAGAUAGCUGGUUCUCCCCGAAAGCUAUUUAGGUAGCGCCUCGGACGAAUACUACUGGGGGUAGAGCACUGUUUGGGCUAGGGGGUCAUCCCGACUUACCAACCCCAUGCAAACUCCGAAUACCAGUAAGUAAUAUCCGGGAGACACACGGCGGGUGCUAACGUCCGUCGUGAAGAGGGAAACAACCCAGACCGCCGGCUAAGGUCCCAAAGUUCUGGUUAAGUGGGAAACGAUGUGGGAAGGCUCAGACAGCUAGGAUGUUGGCUUAGAAGCAGCCAUCAUUUAAAGAAAGCGUAAUAGCUCACUAGUCGAGUCGGCCUGCGCGGAAGAUGUAACGGGGCUCAAACCAGGCACCGAAGCCGCGGAUUCACGCUAAGCGUGAGUGGUAGGGGAGCGUUCUGUAAGUCUGCGAAGGUGUAUCGAGAGGUAUGCUGGAGAUAUCAGAAGUGCGAAUGCUGACGUAAGUAACGAUAAAGGGGGUGAAAAGCCUCCUCGCCGGAAGACCAAGGGUUCCUGUCCAACGUUAAUCGGGGCAGGGUGAGUCGACCCCUAAGGCGAGGCCGAAAGGCGUAGUCGAUGGGAAGCAGGUUAAUAUUCCUGCACGACUUGUAAUUGCGAUGGGGGGACGGAGAAGGCUAGGUGGGCCAGGCGACGGUUGUCCUGGUGAAAGUGCGUAGGUGGUGUUUCUAGGCAAAUCCGGAGACACAACACUGAGACACGAGACGAACACACUACGGUGUGGAAGCCAUUGAUGCCCUGCUUCCAGGAAAAGCCUCUAAGCUUCAGAUUACAAGUCAUCGUACCCCAAACCGACACAGGUGGUCGGGUAGAGAAUACCAAGGCGCUUGAGAGAACUCGGGUGAAGGAACUAGGCAAAAUAGAACCGUAACUUCGGGAGAAGGUUCGCUCCUGACGGUGAAGUCCCUUGCGGAUGGAGCUGUCGGGAGUCGCAGUGACCAGAUGGCUGGGACUGUUUAUCAAAAACACAGCACUCUGCAAACACGAAAGUGGACGUAUAGGGUGUGACACCUGCCCGGUGCCGGAAGGUUAAUUGAUGGGGUUAGCGCAAGCGAAGCUCUUGAUCGAAGCCCCGGUAAACGGCGGCCGUAACUAUAACGGUCCUAAGGUAGCGAAAUUCCUUGUCGGGUAAGUUCCGACCUGCACGAAUGGUGUAACCAUGGCCAUGCUGUCUCCACCCGAGACUCAGUGAAAUCGAAUUCGCCGUGAAGAUGCGGUGUACCCGCGGCUAGACGGAAAGACCCCGUGAACCUUUACUACAGCUUGGCACUGAACAUUGAACCUACAUGUGUAGGAUAGGUGGGAGGCUUUGAAGGCGUGACGCCAGUUGCGCUGGAGCCGUCCUUGAAAUACCACCCUUGUAUGUUUGAUGUUCUAACGCAGGGCCCUGAAUCGGGCUCGCGGACAGUGCCUGGUGGGUAGUUUGACUGGGGCGGUCUCCUCCCAAAGAGUAACGGAGGAGCACGAAGGUUGGCUAAUCCUGGUCGGACAUCAGGAGGUUAGUGCAAUGGCAUAAGCCAGCUUAACUGCGAGACGGACAGGUCGAGCAGGUACGAAAGUAGGUCAUAGUGAUCCGGUGGUUCUGAAUGGAAGGGCCAUCGCUCAACGGAUAAAAGGUACUCCGGGGAUAACAGGCUGAUACCGCCCAAGAGUUCAUAUCGACGGCGGUGUUUGGCACCUCGAUGUCGGCUCAUCACAUCCUGGGGCUGAAGUCGGUCCCAAGGGUAUGGCUGUUCGCCAUUUAAAGUGGUACGCGAGCUGGGUUCAGAACGUCGUGAGACAGUUCGGUCCCUAUCUGCCGUGGGCGUUGGAUGAUUGAAGGGAGUUGCUCCUAGUACGAGAGGACCGGAGUGAACGAACCUCUGGUGUUCGGGUUGUCACGCCAGUGGCACUGCCCGGUAGCUAAGUUCGGAAUCGAUAACCGCUGAAAGCAUCUAAGCGGGAAGCGAGCCCUGAGAUGAGUCAUCCCUGACCCCUUGAGGGUCCUAAAGGGCCGUUGGAGACCACAACGUUGAUAGGUGGGGUGUGUAAGCGCAGCGAUGUGUUGAGCUAACCCAUACUAAUUACCCGUGAGGCUUAACCAU